CGUAGGUGACAAGCGUUGUCCGGAUUUAUUGGGCGUAAAGGGAGCGCAGGCGGUCUGUUUAGUCUAAUGUGAAAGCCCACGGCUUAACCGUGGAACGGCAUUGGAAACUGACAGACUUGAAUGUAGAAGAGGAAAAUGGAAUUCCAAGUGUAGCGGUGGAAUGCGUAGAUAUUGGAGGAACACCAGUGGCGAAGGCGAUUUUCUGGUCUAACAUUGACGCUGAGGCUCGAAAAGCGUGGGGAGCGAAACAGGAUU
RNAcentral lists this ribosomal RNA (255 nucleotides) under uncultured bacterium. RNAcentral describes it as "partial 16S ribosomal RNA". It matches the Rfam family "Bacterial small subunit ribosomal RNA", at positions 526 to 779 of the family's 1533-position model. The record is from RNAcentral.